RNAcentral lists this ribosomal RNA (254 nucleotides) under uncultured bacterium. RNAcentral's name for it is "partial 16S ribosomal RNA". It matches the Rfam family "Bacterial small subunit ribosomal RNA", at positions 524 to 776 of the family's 1533-position model. The record is from RNAcentral.
CACGUAGGGCGCAAGCGUUGUCCGGAAUUAUUGGGCGUAAAGGGCUCGUAGGCGGUCCGUCGCGUCGGGAGUGAAAACUCGGAGCUUAACUCCGAGCCUGCUUCCGAUACGGGCAGACUAGAGUGCGGUAGGGGAGACUGGAAUUCCUGGUGUAGCGGUGAAAUGCGCAGAUAUCAGGAGGAACACCAGUGGCGAAGGCGACUACCUGGCCUGUUUCUUGACGCUGAGGCGCGAAAGCUAGGGGAGCAAACGGG